GCUUCUGUAGUUGAUUACAACGGUGGUUUUUCAAGCCAUUGGUCUCGGUUAGAGUCCGGGCAGGAGUA
Molecule: transfer RNA, 68 nt
Filed under: Pseudotrichonotus altivelis
Lineage: Eukaryota; Metazoa; Chordata; Actinopteri; Aulopiformes; Pseudotrichonotidae
Description: tRNA-Glu
Rfam family: tRNA
About the family: Transfer RNA (tRNA) molecules are approximately 80 nucleotides in length. Their secondary structure includes four short double-helical elements and three loops (D, anti-codon, and T loops).
Source: RNAcentral